GAUGAACGCUGGCGGCGUGCCUAAUACAUGCAAGUCGAGCGAACAGACGAGGAGCUUGCUCCUCUGACGUUAGCGGCGGACGUGUGAGUAACACGUGGAUAACCUACCUAUAAGACUGGGAUAACUUCGGGAAACCGGAGCUAAUACCGGAUAAUAUAUUGAACCGCAUGGUUCAAUAGUGAAAGACGGUUUUGCUGUCACUUAUAGAUGGAUCCUCGCCGCAUUAUCUAGUUGUUAAGGUAACGGCUUACCAAGGCAACGAUGCGUAGCCGACCUGAGAGGGUGAUCGGCCACACUGGAACUGAGACACGGUCCAGACUCCUACGGGAGGCAGCAGUAGGGAAUCUUCCGCAAUGGGCGAAAGCCUGACGGAGCAACGCCGCGUGAGUGAUGAAGGUCUUCGGAUCGUAAAACUCUGUUAUUAGGGAAGAACAAAUGUGUAAGUAACUAUGCACGUCUUGACGGUACCUAAUCAGAAAGCCACGGCUAACUACGUG
This 497-nucleotide ribosomal RNA is filed under the name uncultured bacterium. Its description in RNAcentral is "partial 16S ribosomal RNA". It matches the Rfam family "Bacterial small subunit ribosomal RNA", at positions 28 to 507 of the family's 1533-position model. The record is from RNAcentral.